This 691-nucleotide ribosomal RNA is filed under the name uncultured Bacteroidota bacterium. RNAcentral describes it as "bacterial SSU rRNA". It matches the Rfam family "Bacterial small subunit ribosomal RNA", at positions 60 to 754 of the family's 1533-position model. Lineage: Bacteria; Pseudomonadati; Bacteroidota. The record is from RNAcentral.
AGUCGAGGGGUAUGGCAGCAAUGCCAGAGACCGGCGCACGGGUGCGUAACGCGUAUGCAAUCUACCUUUCACAGAGGGAUAGCCCAGAGAAAUUUGGAUUAAUACCUCAUGGUAUUAUGGAGUGGCAUCACUUUAUAAUUAAAGUCACAACGGUGAAAGAUGAGCAUGCGUCCCAUUAGCUAGUUGGUAGGGUAACGGCCUACCAAGGCGACGAUGGGUAGGGGUCCUGAGAGGGAGAUCCCCCACACUGGUACUGAGACACGGACCAGACUCCUACGGGAGGCAGCAGUGAGGAAUAUUGGUCAAUGGGCGCGAGCCUGAACCAGCCAUGCCGCGUGCAGGAUGACGGUCCUAUGGAUUGUAAACUGCUUUUGUACGGGAAGAAACACUGCUUCGUGAAGCAGCUUGACGGUACCGUAAGAAUAAGGAUCGGCUAACUCCGUGCCAGCAGCCGCGGUAAUACGGAGGAUCCAAGCGUUAUCCGGAAUCAUUGGGUUUAAAGGGUCCGUAGGCGGUUUUGUAAGUCAGUGGUGAAAGCCCAUCGCUCAACGGUGGAACGGCCAUUGAUACUGCAAGACUUGAAUUAUUGGGAAGUAACUAGAAUAUGUAGUGUAGCGGUGAAAUGCUUAGAGAUUACAUGGAAUACCAAUUGCGAAGGCAGGUUACUACCAAUUGAUUGACGCUGAUGGAC